GGCUUGCGAGAGGCUCUGGUCCAGGAGCUGGAUGAGAAAUGUGUGGGAGUGUGUAGGUGUUUGAGGGGUGCUGGGAAAGCUCAGAAGGGCAUCAGUAAAGAUGGAGAGAUGGAAAUCCAAGCAAUAGGAUGUCCGCUGAAUGGAAGUUUUGAGGAGAGAACAGAGGAGGAGUCUGAGGCCUCGAGUAGGAAUGCCGAAAACACAUCCUUUCUCUUCAACAGUCAAAAAAAGCCAAGAGACCUGAACUGGAGCUGAGAGGGUGAGACGUUGAGGAAGUUCAAGCAACAAGCAAACAUCUCUCCAUAAACAGAAAUGGCAAGGCAUCUGCUGAAAGAAGGGAGGAAGGAUCUUGAUAACUCUUCUGGUCAUAUUCUAUUAAAAUUCCUGAGGGCUUUGUAUCAACACAUACAAAUAAAUAAUUACAAAAUUAACUGCUUAUCUCCCAUAUGCCAACCUUUGUGAAAAUACACACACAAACCACUGACUUAUGUGAAGAAAAGUUUCAUUACUAAUGGGAAA
Leptonychotes weddellii (Weddell seal) is the source of this 519-nucleotide non-coding RNA. The record is from RefSeq and is a predicted model, not a curated record. Lineage: Eukaryota; Metazoa; Chordata; Mammalia; Carnivora; Phocidae.